UACAGAGGGUGCAAGCGUUAAUCGGAAUUACUGGGCGUAAAGCGUGCGCAGACGGUUGCGUAAGUCAGAUGUGAAAGCCCCGGGCUCAACCUGGGAAUUGCAUUUGAGACUGCGUAGCUAGGGUGCGGAAGAGGGAAGCGGAAUUCCCGGUGUAGAGGUGAAAUUCGUAGAUAUCGGGAGGAACACCGGUGGCGAAGGCGGCGACCUGGGUAGAUACUGACGCUGAGGUGCGAAAGCGUGGGGAGCAAACAGG
This 253-nucleotide ribosomal RNA is filed under the name uncultured bacterium. RNAcentral's name for it is "partial 16S ribosomal RNA". It matches the Rfam family "Bacterial small subunit ribosomal RNA", at positions 524 to 776 of the family's 1533-position model. The record is from RNAcentral.